This is a long non-coding RNA of Coregonus clupeaformis (lake whitefish), 554 nucleotides long. RefSeq lists it as uncharacterized. NCBI's taxonomy places the organism in Eukaryota, Metazoa, Chordata, Actinopteri, Salmoniformes, Salmonidae. The transcript is spliced from 3 exons. The record is from RefSeq and is a predicted model, not a curated record.
CUGAGAUGCAGUGCCUUAGACCGCUGCGCUACUCGGGAGCCCAGUUCAAAAAGAGCCCACCAAAGGUCCCAUACAAAGCCAUUGCACUGGCCACCUUCCUCUUCUUGAUUGACUCUCUUUUGAUCACCAUUGGAGCCCUCCUAUUGGCAGGAUACUUUGAAGUCACAGAUUCUAUCACAUGCGGAUAGCUUACUAUGCAUCGAAGGGCUACUGUGGUUACUCUUAUGACAUAUCCCAGACUUUGAUGACUGAGCCACUCCUAGCUGAGGCAACUCCUUUGUUAUUUUCAUAUAACAUUGUUGAAUACAGUAAACAGACUGGGAUCCAGGUUAGUCUUAAAGCAGAUAUCCCUUUGAUGUUUAUGUUCAUCAUGUAAUGUCCAUUCACUUUUUGUUCUUUGACUGGAUUACCACCAUUGUUCAUUAUGAAUGACUACUAUAUUUAGAUCAGAUAGGUUUGUGUUAUUGUUGCUAACAAAGAACAUGCACAUUUUUAUUUACUUUAUUUAAUUUUUUGUAUUAACCCAUCCAGCUUUUUUGCUACAUAUGCAUACA